AGUGAACGCUGGCGGUAGGCCUAACACAUGCAAGUCGAACGGCAGCACAGUAAGAGCUUGCUCUUACGGGUGGCGAGUGGCGGACGGGUGAGGAAUACAUCGGAAUCUACUUUUUCGUGGGGGAUAACGUAGGGAAACUUACGCUAAUACCGCAUACGACCUACGGGUGAAAGCAGGGGAUCUUCGGACCUUGCGCGAUUGAAUGAGCCGAUGUCGGAUUAGCUAGUUGGCGGGGUAAAGGCCCACCAAGGCGACGAUCCGUAGCUGGUCUGAGAGGAUGAUCAGCCACACUGGAACUGAGACACGGUCCAGACUCCUACGGGAGGCAGCAGUGGGGAAUAUUGGACAAAGGGCGCAAGCCUGAUCCAGCCACACCGCGUGGGUGAAGAAGGCCUUCGGGUUGUAAAGCCCUUUUGUUGGGAAAGAAAAGCAGCAGGUUAAUACCCCGCUGUUCUGACGGUGCCCAAAGAAUAAGCACCGGCUAACUUCGUG
This 492-nucleotide ribosomal RNA is filed under the name uncultured bacterium. RNAcentral describes it as "partial 16S ribosomal RNA". It matches the Rfam family "Bacterial small subunit ribosomal RNA", at positions 29 to 507 of the family's 1533-position model. The record is from RNAcentral.